RNAcentral lists this ribosomal RNA (1072 nucleotides) under uncultured dinoflagellate. RNAcentral's name for it is "SSU rRNA". It matches the Rfam family "Eukaryotic small subunit ribosomal RNA", at positions 577 to 1674 of the family's 1831-position model. The record is from RNAcentral. Lineage: Eukaryota; Dinophyceae.
CGGUAAUUCCAGCUCCAAUAGCGUAUAUUAAAGUUGUUGCGGUAAAAAAGCUCGUAGUUGGAUUUCUGUUGAGGGCGACCGGUCCAUACCAUGUAUGCGCAUCUGGCUCGGCCUCGGCAUCCUCUCGAAAGACGUUUCUGCGCUUCAUUGCGUGGAGCGGAUCUCGGGACUUUUACUUUGAGGAAAUUAGAGUGUUCACGGCAGGCUAUCGCCAGAAUACAUUAGCAUGGAAUAAUACUAUAGGAUCUUGGUUCUAUUUUGUUGGUUUCUAGAGUUGAGAUAAUGAUUAAUAGGGACAAUUGGGGGCAUUCGUAUCAACACGUCAGAGGUGGAAUUCUUGGAUUGUGUUGCGACGAACUACUGCGAAAGCAUUUGCCAAGGAUGUUUUCAUUGAUCAAGAACGAAAGUAAGGGGAUCGAAGACGAUUAGAUACCGUCGUAGUCUUUACCAUAAACUAUGCCAACUAGAAAUGGGACAUCGUUCACUUACGACUUGUUCCGCGUCUUAUGAGAUAUCAAAGUUUUUGGGUUCCGGGGGGAGUAUGGUCGCAAGUCUGAAACUUAAAGGAAUUGACGGAAGGGCACCACCAGGAGUGGAGCCUGCGGCUUAAUUCGACUCAACACGGGGAAACUCACCAGGUCCAGACAUAAUAAGGAUUGACAGAUUGAUAGCUCUUUCUUGAUUUUAUGGGUGGUGGUGCAUGGCCGUUCUUAGUUCGUGGAGUGAUUUGUCUGCUUAAUUGCGUUAACGAACGAGACCUUAACCUGCUAAAUAGGAGCGCAUAUCUCUGGAUAAGCGCCUUUCUUCUUAGAGGGACUUUAUGCGUUUCAGCAUGAGGAAGUUUGAGGCUAAAACAAGUCUGUGAUGCCCUUAGAUGUUCUGGGCUGCACGCGCGCUACACUGAUGCGUUCAACGAGUGUACAACCUUGCCCGAUAGGGUUGGGUAACCUUUUGAACACGCAUCGUGAUGGGGAUCGAUUAUUGCAAUUAUUAAUCGUCAACGAGGAAUUCCUAGUAAUGAUGGAUCAUCAGUUCAUUGUGAUUACGUCCCUGCCCCUUGUACACACCGCCC